CCUACGGGUGGCAGCAGUAAGGAUUAUUGGUCAAUGGACGAAAGUCUGAACCAGCCAUGCCGCGUGGAGGAUGAAGGUCCUCUGGAUUGUAAACUUCUUUUAUAUGGGACGAAAAAAGGCCUUUCUAGGCCGUCUGACGGUACCAUAUGAAUAAGCACCGGCUAACUCCGUGCCAGCAGCCGCGGUAAUACGGAGGGUGCAAGCGUUAUCCGGUUUCACUGGGUUGUAGGGGGGUUUAGGAGUCAGGGUAUAAAUCUACGAGCUUAACUUGGAAACUGCCAUGGAUACUAUUAAUCUUGAAUAUUGUGGAGGUUAGCGGAAUAUGUCAUGUAGCGGUGAAAUGCUUAGAUAUGACAUAGAACACCAAUUGCGAAGGCAGCUGGCUACACAUAUAUUGACACUGAGGCACGAAAGCGUGGGGAUCAAACAGGAUUAGAUACCCCAGUAGUC
This 450-nucleotide ribosomal RNA is filed under the name uncultured bacterium. RNAcentral's name for it is "partial 16S ribosomal RNA". It matches the Rfam family "Bacterial small subunit ribosomal RNA", at positions 338 to 795 of the family's 1533-position model. The record is from RNAcentral.